UGCAGUCGAGCGGAUGAAGGGAGCUUGCUCCCGGAUUCAGCGGCGGACGGGUGAGUAAUGCCUAGGAAUCUGCCUGGUAGUGGGGGAUAACGUCCGGAAACGGGCGCUAAUACCGCAUACGUCCUGAGGGAGAAAGUGGGGGAUCUUCGGACCUCACGCUAUCAGAUGAGCCUAGGUCGGAUUAGCUAGUUGGUGGGGUAAAGGCCUACCAAGGCGACGAUCCGUAACUGGUCUGAGAGGAUGAUCAGUCACACUGGAACUGAGACACGGUCCAGACUCCUACGGGAGGCAGCAGUGGGGAAUAUUGGACAAUGGGCGAAAGCCUGAUCCAGCCAUGCCGCGUGUGUGAAGAAGGUCUUCGGAUUGUAAAGCACUUUAAGUUGGGAGGAAGGGCAGUAAGCUAAUACCUUGCUGUUUUGACGUUACCAACAGAAUAAGCACCGGCUAACUUCGUGCCAGCAGCCGCGGUAAUACGAAGGGUGCAAGCGUUAAUCGGAAUUACUGGGCGUAAAGCGCGCGUAGGUGGUUCAGCAAGUUGGAUGUGAAAUCCCCGGGCUCAACCUGGGAACUGCAUCCAAAACUACUGAGCUAGAGUACGGUAGAGGGUGGUGGAAUUUCCUGUGUAGCGGUGAAAUGCGUAGAUAUAGGAAGGAACACCAGUGGCGAAGGCGACCACCUGGACUGAUACUGACACUGAGGUGCGAAAGCGUGGGGAGCAAACAGGAUUAGAUACCCUGGUAGUCCACGCCGUAAACGAUGUCGACUAGCCGUUGGGAUCCU
RNAcentral lists this ribosomal RNA (780 nucleotides) under uncultured bacterium. RNAcentral describes it as "bacterial SSU rRNA". It matches the Rfam family "Bacterial small subunit ribosomal RNA", at positions 56 to 832 of the family's 1533-position model. The record is from RNAcentral.